AAAGCGCACGCAGGCGGUUUGUUAAGUCAGAUGUGAAAUCCCCGAGCUUAACUUGGGAACUGCAUUUGAAACUGGCAAGCUAGAGUCUUGUAGAGGGGGGUAGAAUUCCAGGUGUAGCGGUGAAAUGCGUAGAGAUCUGGAGGAAUACCGGUGGCGAAGGCGGCCCCCUGGACAAAGACUGACGCUCAGGUGCGAAAGCGUGGGGAGCAAACAGGAUUAGAUACCCGGGU
RNAcentral lists this ribosomal RNA (230 nucleotides) under uncultured bacterium. Its description in RNAcentral is "partial 16S ribosomal RNA". It matches the Rfam family "Bacterial small subunit ribosomal RNA", at positions 562 to 791 of the family's 1533-position model. The record is from RNAcentral.